UCCAAUGGAACAUUCUGAAAACCAAAGUUAUCCAAGGAAUCAGGCACAAACAUCACCUUAUAAGGACAUUCCAGAAAAACUGGUUUCACCACCAGCUCAGCUGAAAGCGCACAGAUCCAUGCCUCAUCCUAUCCCAAUAUGAUAAGAGCAUGUUGAAAAAAAAAAGACAAAUAUAUACUAGAUGCCAACUAUUUUGUUUUUGUUUGGUAGAUUUUUUUUCAAAAAUUUUCAAAAUGCAU
Saccostrea echinata is the source of this 239-nucleotide long non-coding RNA. RefSeq lists it as uncharacterized. The transcript has 4 exons. The record is from RefSeq and is a predicted model, not a curated record. NCBI's taxonomy places the organism in Eukaryota, Metazoa, Mollusca, Bivalvia, Ostreida, Ostreidae.